AUUUAGUAAGUACUUAUCUUUCAGCCUUCCUGUUAUCUCAGGGUAACGCGCUAUAACAGUCUACCAAGAGGAUUCACAUCAUGGACAUGAACGCACUCACAUACGUUCUUCUCUCCACUAUUCCCUCAACAUGAAGAUGAAGUUUCUCAGGAGACAAAGAACUGUUCAACACUGUUAUGAAAUCGAGGACAGAAAUCCAACUGGGAUAAUGUGCAAAGCGUGUGGAAUUAAGGCAAGAAUCACAGAAUUGCAGGAAUUGGAAGAGACCUAAAGAGUCCAACCCCUGCUAAGGCAGGUUCCCUACAAUAGGUCACACAGUGGCUGAACAUCCAUACCAUCAAUGGAAAUGGAGACUAAGUCUUUAUCUGAG
This 370-nucleotide long non-coding RNA is filed under the name Gallus gallus (chicken). The record is from RNAcentral. Lineage: Eukaryota; Metazoa; Chordata; Aves; Galliformes; Phasianidae.